AAGGUUGUAGCUUAGUUAAAGCGUUUGGUUUGCACUCAGAAGAUACAGGGUAAUGUCCUGUCAGCCUUA
This 69-nucleotide transfer RNA is filed under the name Alectoris chukar (chukar partridge). RNAcentral describes it as "tRNA-Ala". It matches the Rfam family "tRNA". From Rfam's summary of the family: Transfer RNA (tRNA) molecules are approximately 80 nucleotides in length. Their secondary structure includes four short double-helical elements and three loops (D, anti-codon, and T loops). Lineage: Eukaryota; Metazoa; Chordata; Aves; Galliformes; Phasianidae. RNAcentral also lists the same sequence under 1 other name. The record is from RNAcentral.